CCAUUGACUGCAUCCCCAGAGGGCGCUCGCAGGGUGAAUAAAAUGUGCUUUUGGCGUUUUCUCUGAAUUAUUGUAGUUGUGGCUGCCACUCUAUUUCUGACUUUUUUGGACAAGCAAAGCAAUCUUUACUACAAGAUUUGCUAAACAAUCUGCUGUUUGCUAGUUGACUCAUUUGCAUAAUUCACCAGACCAUGGUCUCAUCACAAUGAUGUACUAUGAUAAUGAAUAUUCAUAGUCAGACACUCGAAACUACAAAAAUCAGGAAACUGCUAUAAAAUGACACCACAGCAAGAGCAACUUCUAGAUAGCAUGUGCAUGUGCGUUUCACCACAACAAAUCAAGCACGAUUUAACCUUCUACCGCUUGGAUAGGCCAGUGAAUAUUUUAAAUAAAAAUUUUGUAGAAGGCUGAACAUUACAAAGAUUUCAGCAAACCGGUGGAUUUAUCCUGCUCAGCUCAAUGGCUAUAAUGUUGCUUUGUUGUUUUGUGCUCGUUAAUUCUGAAUGAAAUUCUGAAGAAAAUUUAGACAUUGCACCUCUGCAACAAGUGCACUAGCCCUGCUUGGCUGAAUGGUGAAUUUUGCUUCCUCUACUGAAUGAAUGUGGCAACUGAUUUGGCAAUUGAAGCUUUCUAUUUCAAAUAAAUAUUCUUUGUAAUUCAGUAUCGUUUUGGAAAUAGUUUGAAUAUUCAUUGUAAUUUAGUAUUUUGAAUAAAUAUAUAUUCAGUUUA
Molecule: long non-coding RNA, 729 nt
Organism: Anneissia japonica
Lineage: Eukaryota; Metazoa; Echinodermata; Crinoidea; Comatulida; Comatulidae
Exons: 5
Source: RefSeq, a predicted model, not a curated record